RNAcentral lists this ribosomal RNA (665 nucleotides) under Septoria sp. KordAr-2. RNAcentral describes it as "eukaryotic LSU rRNA". It matches the Rfam family "Eukaryotic large subunit ribosomal RNA", at positions 114 to 809 of the family's 3401-position model. The record is from RNAcentral. Lineage: Eukaryota; Fungi; Ascomycota; Dothideomycetes; Mycosphaerellales; Mycosphaerellaceae.
UUUGAAAUCUGGCGCAGCCCGAGUUGUAAUUUGUAGAGGAUGCUUCUGGGUAGCGACCGGUCUAAGUUCCUUGGAACAGGACGUCAUAGAGGGUGAGAAUCCCGUAUGUGACCGGCCCGCACCCUUUACGUAGCUCCUUCGACGAGUCGAGUUGUUUGGGAAUGCAGCUCUAAAUGGGAGGUAAAUUUCUUCUAAAGCUAAAUACCGGCCAGAGACCGAUAGCGCACAAGUAGAGUGAUCGAAAGAUGAAAAGUACUUUGGAAAGAGAGUUAAAAAGCACGUGAAAUUGUUGAAAGGGAAGCGCCUGCAAUCAGACUUCGCGGCAGUGUUCCGCCGGCCUUCUGGCCGGUUCAUUCUCUGUCGCGAGGCCAUCAUCGUCUCGGCCCGCUGGAUAAGACCUUGGGAAUGUAGCUCACCUUCGGGGGAGUGUUAUAGCUCAUGGUGAUGCAGCGAGGCUGGGGCGAGGUCCGCGCUUCGGCAAGGAUGAUGGCGUAAUGGUUGUCGGCGGCCCGUCUUGAAACACGGACCAAGGAGUCUAACAUCUAUGCGAGUGUUCGGGUGUCAAACCCCUACGCGUAAUGAAAGUGAACGGAGGUGGGAACCGCAAGGUGCACCAUCGACCGAUCCUGAUGUCCUCGGAUGGAUUUGAGUAAGAGCAUAGCUGU